Molecule: long non-coding RNA, 1450 nt
Filed under: Sarcophilus harrisii (Tasmanian devil)
Lineage: Eukaryota; Metazoa; Chordata; Mammalia; Dasyuromorphia; Dasyuridae
Description: lncRNA (ENSSHAG00000028425.1)
Source: RNAcentral
CCCCCUCUCCCUCCCUCGCCCGUUGGAAUCCGUGGUCGGAGAGCCAUUUACGUUCAGUUACUUUAUUCUCGGGAACGAGGGGACCCCCGUUUUGGGGCUAGCUGGAUCACAAAAAGAGAUAAAGAUUAAGUAACUUGCCUAAAAUUACAUGCCCAUUAAGUACAUGAGGCUGGAUUUGAACUUCCUUCUUCCUGAUUCCAGAUCCAGGACUCAAGUGGUACUUUCUGUCAUGAAUGAGAAGUAAUCCAAUGUAUGUUCAACAUGUGCAAUUUCUCAUACGUAUUUUUCCACAAUUAUCAUGCUGCCCAAGAGAAAUCAGAUCAAAAGUUUCAUUCAAGAUUUGCCACAAGAAAAGAAUAUUUUUCAGGACAAUGAAUUAGCAUGAAGAAAAAUUCCUCAGAAAAAUUCUUAAAACAAGGCUUGAAGUUGGUUUCAGAAGAAGCAUAAGGAGAUAAUAAGGAAAGAGAAAUGGGACUUAAUGAAAUUUAUCUGCUUAUAUUCCUCCAUGGGAGGAUGAUACUUGUAAUUUAUAAGAACUUUUGCAUUAUUAUGGCCGUUAGAAGGAGUAUAUAUAAACAGAGGAGCCCAGCUGGUACUAGAAAAACACACAAUUGGAAGCGAUGGGAAGUUUUCUUGAAUAAUGGAAAGGACUGAAAAAAAGAGAAUUUAAAAUGCCAAUUUGAGGACUGUCUUCUAUGAGAUUUCAGGUUUGUGAAUUCUUUUGCAUCGGACCUGUGUGACCAGAGGGGAUUUCCCACCCCAAUUCUCAACCACUAUCCUCAUCUUUUACACCUCAUCAAUAGGACUCAUUCCUCUUUGAGAUUGGGUUUCCAGCUAAGGAAGAUUGCAUUUGGCAAAUUAGGAUGAAAGUAAUCAAUAUCAGCUAAGAAACAAAUGACAACACCAGAAAGCUUGAUUAUUCACCAAUUUGGCUAAUCUACUGGGAGAAAUCUUGACUACAUUGGUAGAAGACUAAGUGAAAGCAUCCUAGGUAGAACUAUCCUUGUCACUUGUCAGCACAUUUUAAUGAAAUGCCAGUCUUUUCUACCAAAUCCUGAAGAAAAACCUCUGGGUACCGAUUGAUGAAAUGAUUUUCCUCCCAAAUGGAGCCUAAACUUAAAAUAAAGCACCUCCCAUUUUGCAAAGCACAGCAGUCUGCAAGUUCAAGAGAGGGCAGAAAAGUGAUUCUCAGCCUACUCCACUUUGGAUAUGCUUCUUUGCUUGGUUUCAACUCCACAGAACAAGAUGACUGUGUAUUAAGUAAUCCCUGCUGGCUCCCCAUCCCUGAUUUCCCGCUUCCUUUUUUGGGUUGUCUCCACCCUUAGAGUUGUAAGUCUUUGAGGGCAGGGGUUGUCUUUCUUUUUAUUAAUUGUAUUACCAGCACAUAGUAGAUGCUUAAUAAAAUUGUAUUAUGUAUAUAAAAGAGGUGGAUUAGUUCUUUUUGUGGUGG